Molecule: long non-coding RNA, 1707 nt
Filed under: Pogona vitticeps (central bearded dragon)
Lineage: Eukaryota; Metazoa; Chordata; Lepidosauria; Squamata; Agamidae
Description: lncRNA (ENSPVIG00000006082.1)
Source: RNAcentral
GAAGCUUGCCUUCUGUUCAGAGGUUACCUCGGGUUGCUCCCUCUGAACUAUACUGCAAGCUCUCGAGGCACCAUAGCCUCACAAAAAUCCAGAAAAGCGGGUUCCAGUAGACAGCCAGUCGCGGUGUUAUUUGGAACUUCCCAGUCUUGGGCCUUUUAAGGAUUAAACCUUUGCCGGAAUGUAGAAAAUGCCCUUUCUGUGGCCAUAACACCCCAAAAUCCUCCUGCCAACGUGCCCAGAAUUGGCCAAAUUGACUGGAAGAUUCUGGGAGUUGGAAUUUUUGAAAGUUAUUUUUCCGAGCUUUGACCAGAGAACUUGGGGAGCGAGAGGGAGACUCCGGGUUAGAGUCUCUCUCCCCAUGGCUGCAUCUGCUGUGCAAACUUCCAGGCCCUGUAAAUCCUGCAAGGUUUCUUCAAGCAGAGAGUCAAUAAUCACUUUGGGAUUAUCUAUGGUGAGGAUGGGUUUAGAUGGAUUAAUGGAAGCUUCCCAACCUCCCCCUAUGUUAACGUGAUUCCUGCUCUGUGCAGGAUCUUGGCUGCGAGAAGCCAAGAUCAUUUUCUCUGUGUUGGGAAUGGAUCUGGGCCAGCGCCAGGCCCUCGGGCGCCCCCUCCAGCGUGGCCGAGCCCAUGGGGGCAGGUGAAGAAGCUUGAUCCCCAAACGCUUGGGUUUUGGAAGAGUCGGAGCAGGGGGAAUGGAGGGCUGGCCCCUAAUGCCUUCUGUGGGGCUGGGAGUCCUCUUCCUCCUCCUCUCGGUGUCUGAGUUCCUCUCGUGUGAAGAAUCGGAAGUUACCCUGGACACCUACUGGUCCGGAACAGCUCCCAUCUGCUUAGGUGGCUGUAAAGGAAAACAUAAAGAACUGAAGCGAAGCCAGUGCGGGAACGGAAGUUGUUGCUGGCUCGGGUACAAAUCCUUCUGCCGAGGUACGAGCUGCUUGACGGCCCAUGUGGCCAGCCGAGGGUCUCUCUUAGUUCUGAGUUCAAAUUCCGCAUCAACCAGCUGAGCAGGGCAAAUGCCCUCAGCAUGACUUUCUUGCCCCAGUGAAAUCGGGACCAGGGUGGCAGGCAUGGGCUUUGACAAGGGCAGGCGUCAUUGAGGCCGUGAAGCAUGUAGCGGAUCACACAGAGCGGUCACCUGGAGAAAAGGAGGCCAUGGGAAUUACAGAAGGAUUAACCUUUUCGAAAGGGCUGAUCACAAUUGUAGAGGACGAGGCACUGCAAACCGGGGAUGGGGUGUGGAGUCGUGGGACUCCCUGUCUAGUCAGACUGAAGUCCCACCAGUGACUUGACUUGGACCCAAUUCGAGUCUCCCCCCCCCCCGAAUGAAUUGGACUCGAGUAAGGACUCACCCACUCCUCCCUUUUUUUCCUGGGGGAAAGCUUGUUUUUCAUAGGGACUCAGACUCGGGACUUGGGACUUGGUACGAAAGUCUCAGACUUGGGACUUGGGCCCAAAGACUCACCAACAUCUCUGCUAUGAGCAGACAUUAGGUAUAAGACUCAAACUAGCCAUUGUGGUGCAUUUGAAGUAAUGGAAAGGUAAGUUUUAAAACUACAUCUCCCAGGCUUCUAAGUUGGUAAUGUUGACCUUGCCUUCCAGGCUCUUCCGGCUGGGCCCCCGGGCGCUAGAUGCCCCUGGCAAUCAAGGGGUCCUUGGCCAGAACCGGGUCUCCCUACGUUGUCCCUACCUGAUGGUUCAGUUAUCUUAGAAA